GGUGUCCGUGAAAACGAGCAGCUGCUUUAGCUGACGACUCAGAUGCAGGCACGCUCCCCUGAGAGAUGAGGGCCAUGUCAUCCCUCUGGGCAGAGGACUCCCUGGAGGCCUCAUCUCAUCCCACCCAGCCCAAGACCCCAUCUCCCAGGCCUGGGGUUCAACACAAGGAAUCAUUUCUCCUGCUUCCCUCGUAAGUGAAGGUAGCUUUUUGUUUAGUGCUGAGGGAUUGACCCUGGGAGAGACCCUGCCCAGCACGGCCCGGCCUCUGCCUGGUUCCCACGCCGGCGCCGGCAGUUUUACCACCUUGGGCAGCUUUUGCCACAUCCGUGCAAUGCCAGCUCCAUGAAAUCAGUGAAUAUCACCUUAGUGUGCUCGUCAAUGUAGAUCUCCCCUCUCAGACUGCCGCAGGGGUCCCAGGGACCCACAGGGGGCCACACGCCAACUCCAGAACUGCCCAAAACUUGGAAGUAUCCCCAGUGCCCAUGAAGAGUGGGACGGACACUCAGCACUGACACGGAGGCCCCGGCAGCCGCCCCGCGAAGAGUGGGACAGACACUCAGCACUGACACAGAGGCCACGGCAGCCACCCCAUGAAGAGUGGGACAGACACUCAGCACUGACACAGAGGCCACAGCAGCCACCCCAUGAAGAGUGGGACGGACACUCAGCACUGACACGGAGGCCCAGGCAGCCGCCCCGUGAAGAGUGGGGCACUCAGCACUGACACGGAGGCCACGGCAGCCACCCCACGAGGAGUGGGACAGACACUCAGCACUGACACAGAGGCCACAGCAGCCACCCCAUGAAGAGUGGGACGGACACUCAGCACUGACACGGAGGCCACGGCAGCCACCCCACGAGGAGUGGGACAGACACUCAGCACUGACACAGAGGCCACGGCAGCCACCCCAUGAAGAGUGGGACAGACACUCAGCACUGACACAGAGGCCACAGCAGCCACCCGAUGAAGAGUGGGACGGACACUCAGCACUGACACAGAGGCCACGGCAGCCAC
Molecule: long non-coding RNA, 1015 nt
Filed under: Homo sapiens (human)
Lineage: Eukaryota; Metazoa; Chordata; Mammalia; Primates; Hominidae
Description: HSALNT0170490
Source: RNAcentral